UUAUUUUAUUUAUUAUUAUUUUUAUUAUUAAUAAUUAUUAUUACUUUCCACAGUGCAGUAGUGGCUAUUUCAUUGUUACUGUUAACACAUGUUUUGUCAUUGAAUUCUAUUGGGUUAAUAUACCAACUAUUCACUUCCAACUAGUUACAUUCUGUUUUAAUAAUUUUGUUUUUUAUUGUACUUUAUCUAUACAGUAGCCAUUCUGACUAGUCUUUACAUCUAAUGAUCUAAUAUAUCUAAUGAUGUAGUGUAAGAAAUAUUACAUAGGCCUACUGUUGGAAUAUAUAUGUGUGCCCUUAUAAAUAAGUACUAGUAUCGAACAAAGAUGUACUAAACUGGAAUAAAUACCAGCAACAAUUAGAAAUAUAUCACUGGAAGUGAACAGUUAAGUUUGGUACCACAAAUCCACAUAAAAUUCAAUGACAAAAAUAUCUUCCAGAAACACUCAAGUUACUUGUAACUUCUGGAAUGGUGACAGGUAGUGAAAGUAAGGACUAGCAUCCAGUGAACAGUUUACAAGUAAAAUUGAAAAAACGCCAGUCACUACUGAAUGACUUACUCUAAAUAGCCUAUAGCUCAUGGGAAAAUGUUAAAACGGCUUGCCACAAAGUCAAUAUUUCGUCAAUGACAAGUUUAUAGCUAUUCUAUUCAAAUGCACUCAUUGCAUCGCACAGUCUACUUUGACAUGACAUUGCUGCAAACUCUGCCCAGUUUAAGGAGUUUUUACCAGAAUUAGAGGUAGCCCAUUUAAAGGCAUUGUGUAUUUUCUUCCAUUAUGGACAAGUGUCGCUCAGAUAACAUAUCACUUGUUGGAAUACGUGUCUUAAAUGACUAAUUUUGUGUGCUUCUAUUGUGUAUCGUCGUCUCGUCAAGAGCCCGUUCCAUAUCAACAACCAGUGAAAUAUGCAUAAGAUGCUAUGUGUGAACCUUUUCUCCGUUUGUGCUACUAUUCGUGCAGAGUUCAAAAGAUCUAAAAUUGUUCUGAUUCGAGCACAAAUUCAGAGACUUGCUAAUGUGUACCGAUCACUGAAGACAAAAGGGAGGGGAAAGAUCAGAGACUGAAAGCGCUGUCGACUGGAUACUUCUAAUCACGUUGGAGUUCUGCAGUCUCCAUAGCAACGGUAAGUUCCUCGGUAACCCGCUAUUGUUGCCAUGGCUUUUUUUUUUUUUUUUCUUCAGUAAUCUGCCAGAAUGUUUUGAAGUCUGGCUGAAGAUUCGCGGUGUUGCUGGAUUUUGUAAACUGGUGAAAAUGGAUUCACUCAUCUAACCAGAGGGCCAUAACAACAAAUAAAUUGUUCUGGACCACCGUUAAAAGACCCCAACUAUUAAGCCACACUCUGGGAUAAAGUGCAAUACCUGUGAAAGUUUCGUCACUGAACACUACGCUGUCCAGCAGGCACAGACUGGAGUGUAUAAUGAUGGGUGUGAUACACUGGUCAUUCACAAGGGGCUGCUGUAUCCUCGCCAAACGCUCGCAGAAGCCCGCCAGCUCCAUUCUCCCGCAGGAUGGACCUCCCGCCUCGUCUUAAGAAAGAGCAGUGAGGAAGGAGACAGAAGUGGACGAAGCUUUAUAGGAGUUUAUUCUCCGGAGGCCGGAUUGCCUGUGUGGACCCCAGCUUGCCAAACAUAGGGGCGCGUGGACUGUUCCCUGCUCCUCCACACUUCUGGGAGGAGGUGCCUUCAAAAAACAUCCCCCUCGUCCAGCCUCCGGGCCCUGAUUUCCCCCUGGCUAGACAGCCCCAGCGCACCACUUGCCUUUUCUGUGUCAGUAUUCUGUCUCUUUACCGAAAGAAGAUGGACUCCUGUGUUGAUGUGCUGUUUCUGCUGCUAAAUUCUAGGGAAUGGAAGCCCUGCCUCCUGCUGAUGACGCUUGAGCGGAUAGUUUCUAUGGCUGUCAUGUUGUGGCCACAGAUGGGUUGAAUUGUCACCAUUUCAGAGAGGGAGUUGAAGGAAACGCUGUCGCACUGUGACCAGAUGGAGUCCUUCUAUCGCUCGUUUGAGUAGAUGCCACACUGGAGGGAUUGUUCCAGGAUCCUGCCGAGAUACUGUCUGCCAGAGAGAGAACCGCUUAUACUGGAGCUGAAGGGGUUUUCCUUUGUCCUCCAGGCCUGGCUCUACCUUUUUUCCAUUGCAUGGUCCAGCACACAGAAAUCCCCAGAGGCAUUUCCAAAAGGAUAUAGUCUCAUGGCUCAUAUCCCAGAGUUCACUGGGAAGACAUGUGGUGUUUUGUGAAAGCUUCACGCACAGACACUAAACAAACAGGUCCUGAUGAAAUGGAUCUUCAAAAGGCUAUACUAUUAAACUGGACUGUUUUUAAAUGAACGCUAUUGUUUUCUUGGCGCUUACGAAUUUGAAUAUAAAUUAAUUUAAUAUUUCGUGCGCGUGUGUAUGUUGUGUGUUACAAACAUGAAUGCUUUCUCAAAUCAAGCAGCUUUUUUUUUUAAAUCAAGAAAAGUUUUUAAUUGAUUACACUUUGG
This is a long non-coding RNA of Cyprinus carpio (common carp), 2477 nucleotides long. RefSeq lists it as uncharacterized. The record is from RefSeq and is a predicted model, not a curated record. The transcript has 4 exons. Lineage: Eukaryota; Metazoa; Chordata; Actinopteri; Cypriniformes; Cyprinidae.